CCAGGUGGGUAGAUGGCAGGUUGAAUAAAGAGAAGCUAGUGAUGUGGGGGUUCUCUCAUAACCCUCAGUCCCCAGGUGGGUAGAUGGCAGGUUGAAUAAAGAGAAGCUAGUGAUGUGGUGGUUCUCUCAUAACCCUCAGUCCCCAGGUGGGUAGAUGGCAGGUUGAAUAAAGAGAAGCUAGUGAUGUGGGGGUUCUCUCAUAACCCUCAGUCCCCAGGUGGGUAGAUGGCAGGUUGAAUAAAGAGAAGCUAGUGAUGUGGGGGUUCUCUCAUAACCCUCAGUCCCCAGGUGGGUAGAUGGCAGGUUGAAUAAAGAGAAGCUAGUGAUGUGGGGG
This 334-nucleotide long non-coding RNA is filed under the name Salmo salar (Atlantic salmon). RNAcentral describes it as "lncRNA (ENSSSAG00000091540.1)". Lineage: Eukaryota; Metazoa; Chordata; Actinopteri; Salmoniformes; Salmonidae. The record is from RNAcentral.